GACCUCGUGUGUUUCCGAAAAAAAUGUAAACAAAGCUAAUAGAGCUGUUUUAUAAAAAGUUUUUUUCUACUCUAGAGCUGAUUUUAGUCCACCCUGUGUCAAAGCAGCCCACGGUUGACUGACUCACCAGCUGAAAUUCCAGGAAGAGGAACCACAAACCCUAGACUCUAUAGAAGGAAACCUUCAUCAGAUAUCUUGAUGAACAAAGUCUAUUGAACCAGGCAAGCUUCCUGCUGAAGAGACAGGACAGUCAUAAUGCUGAGAGUAUCUACUGUGUCUGAGGUACUGGGCCAGGAACUGCAGAGGCUACAAAAGAGAACGAGAAUGGGUCUCACGUCUUAAGUAGCUCAUGCUGUAGUGAAGGAGACAACAGUGCAACUCAAGGCAUCGCGAUCAAGAGCUACAGUAGAAAUGUCCACAAGGCCUCGGGGGAAAGGGAGAUGAAUGCUAACUCUGUGUGGUCUCAGUCUUCAUGGUGUCUCAGCUGAGCCUUGAAUCCUGUGAUUGCGUAGAAGGGUCUUUUAGGAGGACACAGCUGGAACAAAAGGCACAAAAUACAGGAUGGAGCAUUUGUCCUAUUUUUUUAAGCUGAAGGGAAGGUGCCCAGGAGAGGAAGAGAUUAAUGGUUCAGGAGAAAAAUGGGAUGCCUGAUGGCACAGGAAGUGAUUGGAUCAAACCCACAGUUGGUUUUUUUGUGUGUUUUUUCUUUUUUUGUGUGGACGUGUUUGUUGUUGCAAUGGCUUAAAGCAGAGAUAACAAGUCUAUUACAAAAGAAAGUGCAUGACUAUCAUGGUUUGCAGAUGAUAUGUUUACCGUUCUAAAACAGAGAUUCUCAGCCCUUUUCCACACAUGGCCCUUGAAGAAAAUGACAGUAUCUAUAAGAUAUAUUGGAGUAAGCCAUAGGGGAUUUGCAGGCAAUUAUCUGUGGCUUGGUGAAAAAAUUUUAGUGUGUUUUUAUAUUAUAUAAUUAUGGUAAUAAAAAUAAAACAUAAUGUAUUCCAAAAGAUAUUCAAUAUUGAAUUUAUAUAAAACUUCCAUGUAAAAUAUUCUCAGAUUAUUUACCUAGAUACUUAGGUUUACUUCUCUGGAUGUAACUUUAAUAUAAGAUUAUAUGCCUAAAUCUUUAAUAUGAGAUUAAUAUAAGAUUAUAUAAGGGGUCAUCAGCAUUUCUUGGUGUUGACUUUUUAGUGAUCAUCUCUUGCUAGUCAACACGAAUGAGAAACUUUGUUCAUAUAAAUUGCUAAUUUAAAAUAUUUAAUUUAAUUUAAAAAAUUUAUAAUAGUUGCCAGGAAAAUCUAACAGUUUUUUCAUUCUUUUUUCUUUUUUUUUAACAUCUUUAUUGGAGUAUAAUUGCUUUACAAUGGUGUGUUAGUUUCUGCUUUAUAGACAGAUGUGAUAUUGCAAUUUGUUGUGAUGAUGCAAAUAGAUUUUUCAAAACAAUAUAGCUUUUUCAUAUCAUGUACUUCAAAGUAGUGAUGAAGCUCUAAUGUGAGGAAAAGACAGGUGUUAUUAGAGCAGUCACCUUGCAAGUAGCUUGAAUGUCACUAAGAGAAUCCAUUGGCACAAAUACGUGGCAGCAUCUCCUGUGUCACGACCAAGAUUCCAAGCUGCCACCUGUGAAGUGCCUGCCCUGAGCCCCCUUGGGCUGUGAUCUGGGCACCAUGGGCAUCUGGUACCCAAACCCCUCCAGCAGUUCCAUGGUCCUAGGGCCACAAGGCAGAGAUGUGCUCUGCAGCUGGUACAGAGGGGGCAUCCUGGCUGGAGGGCACCCUUGAGUUUGUUUAACAGGUUGCCGCAAAGCGAGGUGUGCGGGAUGUGGCCGGUUCUGCUCAUUGCUAAUAGUGAUCUCACACAAUCAGAGCUCCUCUGCUUAGGGUUCUCUCUCGAGCCUCCAAGGAGCUUCUUGAAUGUAGGUGAUUAGUUACAAGUGGCCGCACCAGACCCUCCCUGACUGCUGGGCAGUCAGUGUCUUAUAGAGCACCCGAGUCCCCCUCUCGGCACAGCAGUGGACCGCAUGCAGCGUACCAACUGGAAAGCUCCCGUCUGGAAAGCCAAAGGAAGAAAGUAUUGACAUGAAUAAAAGAGUGAGAAGAAUGACUUAAUAUAUGAAAGAUACAUGCAUAUAUGUUAAGAUAAGUAUCUGAAAAUUACCGGAUUUUCUAUUUACUAACUAUAAUGAGUGAGGAAACAUAACAGAAAAAAAGAUUGCACUCCCAAUAGCAACAAAAGAGAUGAAAUACCUAGGAAUACCUUAACAAGAAAUAUGAGAGAUUUAUAUGAAUAAAUGACAAGAUUUUACUACAAAGUAUAAAAGAAGACUUCUGUAAAUAGAACCAUACCGUGUUCUUGGAUGGGAGAACUGAAUAUUAUAAAGAUGUCAAUUUCCUACCAAAUUAAUUUAUAGUUAUAACUCCAAUCAAAA
Aethalodelphis obliquidens (Pacific white-sided dolphin) is the source of this 2422-nucleotide long non-coding RNA. RefSeq lists it as uncharacterized. The transcript has 4 exons. Lineage: Eukaryota; Metazoa; Chordata; Mammalia; Artiodactyla; Delphinidae. The record is from RefSeq and is a predicted model, not a curated record.